CCUGGUGGCUCAGAGGGUCAAGCGUCUGCCUGCAGUGCAGGAGACCUGGGUUCGAUCCCUAGGUCAGGA
Molecule: transfer RNA, 69 nt
Filed under: Bos taurus (domestic cattle)
Lineage: Eukaryota; Metazoa; Chordata; Mammalia; Artiodactyla; Bovidae
Also listed under: 1 other name
Rfam family: tRNA
About the family: Transfer RNA (tRNA) molecules are approximately 80 nucleotides in length. Their secondary structure includes four short double-helical elements and three loops (D, anti-codon, and T loops).
Source: Rfam by way of RNAcentral